Molecule: transfer RNA, 73 nt
Filed under: Nanobdellota archaeon
Lineage: Archaea; Nanobdellati; Nanobdellota
Description: tRNA-Arg
Rfam family: tRNA
About the family: Transfer RNA (tRNA) molecules are approximately 80 nucleotides in length.
Source: RNAcentral
GCUCCCGUAGUCUAACUGGAUAGAACACAGGCCUGCGAAGCCUGGGAUCUGGAUUCGACCUCCAGCGGGGGCA